GGGGUUGUGGCUCAGCGGCAGAGCACUCGCCUUGCAUGUGCGAGGUCCUGAGUUCGAUCCUCAGCAUCACAU
Molecule: non-coding RNA, 72 nt
Organism: Ictidomys tridecemlineatus (thirteen-lined ground squirrel)
Lineage: Eukaryota; Metazoa; Chordata; Mammalia; Rodentia; Sciuridae
Source: Rfam